AUUGAACGCUAGCGGGAUGCUUUACACAUGCAAGUCGAACGAGUCGCGGACGGGUGAGUAAUAUAUCGGAACUUGCCCAGUAGCGGGGGAUAACUACUCGCAAGAGUGGCUAAUACCGCAUACGAUUGUAGCCGCCGAUAUCGGAUUAGCUAGUUGGUGGGGUAAAGGCUCACCAAGGCAACAAUCCGUAGCUUGUUUGAGUGGACGACCAGCCAUACUGUGACUGCGACACGGCCCAGACUCAUACGGGAGGCCGCAGGUGGGAAUUUUGGGCAAGGGGGGAAACCCUGAUCCAGCCAUCCCGCGUGUAUGAGAAGGUCUUCGGGUUGUAAAGUACUUUUGUCAGAGAAGCGGUAUCUGCAGAAAAAGCACCGGCUAACUACGUGCCAGCAGCCGCGGUAAUUC
RNAcentral lists this ribosomal RNA (405 nucleotides) under uncultured bacterium. RNAcentral's name for it is "partial 16S ribosomal RNA". It matches the Rfam family "Bacterial small subunit ribosomal RNA", at positions 30 to 526 of the family's 1533-position model. The record is from RNAcentral.